This is a long non-coding RNA of Leopardus geoffroyi (Geoffroy's cat), 1460 nucleotides long. RefSeq lists it as uncharacterized. The transcript has 2 exons. Lineage: Eukaryota; Metazoa; Chordata; Mammalia; Carnivora; Felidae. The record is from RefSeq and is a predicted model, not a curated record.
UGCCCGCGAGGCUCACCCACGGGGCCGCAGCCUUUGAAUCGCCGAGCGCCACCCCUCGCAGGCACGGGCCUGGGCCGUUUAUCUGUUUCCCAGUCGAAGGACAGCUGGGCUGUUUCCGGUUUUCGAUUAGCCAAGUUCCAGAAAAUAGUUUCUCAGCCCAGAACAGGCUUCCCAGCCACCAGCUCUGGAACUGAGCCCCUCCCACACAGGCGGCUAUGUGCGGACAUCAUGAGAAUUGCUGGGGAGCCGGGAGGCUCGGGGACCCCGGGUCAUCAGACCCCCUCCCCCACCCGAACACCCAUGCACUCAGCAGGUCAGUGUCACUGCCGACUGCUGCCUACCACCCAGAGUCACGGGCCUUUUUCAAACCUGGGGUCCGGGGGCGGCUGGGCGUGGGCUCUACCCUCUCUGUGCACCCUCCCCAUGUGGGUGGCACCCAGGGGCUGUGCCUGCCCUCACCCGGCCGGCCCAGACAUACCAGGCUUCAACUCAGCACGGCCCAGGGGGACAAGGGAGACCCGUGCUGCCGUUUCUCAGCCCAGCCAGCCACAAGAAAUGCAGAUCUGGCGAUCCUCAGGAAGCCGAUCCGUGUAAGUCAGCGAAGUGACACACGAGGAAGAAAAAUCAGACGCGGGUCCUACGACAUGUGGCGAAGACACUUGUGAAAAUCCAACAUCCGCUCGUGAUUAAAACGAAAAGGGCUCUUACAAACCCAGAGCCAAAGGGGGCCUCUGAUGCCGUGGAAGAGGGCCUGCGGGAGGCCGGCGCAGUCGUCAUGCUUCGUGGCAAAGCCUCGAAAGCUUUCCUUCCCAAACCAGAAGCGAGGCAAGACGUUCUCCCCCUCGCCCUUUCUGCUCGACAUGGUGACAGCUGCCUCCACCACUGCAAUAAGGUAAGAAAACUAAAUAAACGAGGGGCUCCCGGCUGGCUCCGUCAGAAGAGCAUUCGACUCUUGACCUCGGGGUCGGGAGUUCCAGAGCCACGUCGGGUAUAGAGAUGACGUAAAUCAACAAAACUUAAAAAGAAAAAGAAACAAACCAGAGGUGAAAAGACUAGACGAGAAGAAACCAAACUGCCAUUUUUCGCAAGGCAGGCAAUUCCAAACGCAGGAGGUCCGAAAUGACCUGCAGAUCAAUACUAACAGUUUACCAAGGUUGCUGGAUGUAAAGUUAACACGAAAAAUCAGAUUUCUUUCUAUGUAAUGGGGGCGAACAGAUAGAAAAUGGGAAUUUUUGAACGAUACCACCUGUGAUAACAUCAAACCAGGUCAAGCGCCCGGAAAUAAAUACAGUAGCAUACACACGAGACCUCUAGAGAAAAAAAAAAAUAUGAAAUUUUAUUGACAGACAUUCAUGAAGACCUAAGAGGGGACAUUUGUUCAUGUUUAUAGUUUAUGGUUUAUGAAGUGCUUAUGGUUUAGAAAAUUCAACAUUAUAAAGAUCUUAAUUCUCCCAAAUUGA